AUUAGCUAGUUGGUGGGGUAAAGGCCUACCAAGGCGACGAUCUGUAGCGGGUCUGAGAGGAUGAUCCGCCACACUGGGACUGAGACACGGCCCAGACUCCUACGGGAGGCAGCAGUGGGGAAUAUUGGACAAUGGGCGAAAGCCUGAUCCAGCCAUGCCGCGUGUGUGAAGAAGGCCUUUUGGUUGUAAAGCACUUUAAGCGAGGAGGAGGCUACUGGGAUUAAUACUCUUGGAUAGUGGACGUUACUCGCAGAAUAAGCACCGGCUAACUCUGUGCCAGCAGCCGCGGUAAUACAGAGGGUGCGAGCGUUAAUCGGAUUUACUGGGCGUAAAGCGUGCGUAGGCGGCUUUUUAAGUCGGAUGUGAAAUCCCUGAGCUUAACUUAGGAAUUGCAUUCGAUACUGGGAAGCUAGAGUAU
RNAcentral lists this ribosomal RNA (418 nucleotides) under Acinetobacter johnsonii. RNAcentral's name for it is "bacterial SSU rRNA". It matches the Rfam family "Bacterial small subunit ribosomal RNA", at positions 240 to 649 of the family's 1533-position model. The record is from RNAcentral. Lineage: Bacteria; Pseudomonadati; Pseudomonadota; Gammaproteobacteria; Moraxellales; Moraxellaceae.